GCGUUGUCCGGAAUUAUUGGGCGUAAAGAGCGUGUAGGCGGCUCGGUAAGUCUGCUGUGAAAGUCCAGGGCUCAACCCUGGAAUGCCGGUGGAUACUGUCGGGCUAGAGUGCGGAAGAGGCGAGUGGAAUUCCUGGUGUAGCGGUGAAAUGCGCAGAUAUCAGGAGGAACACCAAUUGCGAAGGCAGCUCGCUGGGACGUUACUGACGCUGAGACGCGAAAGCGUG
Molecule: ribosomal RNA, 226 nt
Filed under: uncultured bacterium
Lineage: Bacteria
Description: partial 16S ribosomal RNA
Rfam family: Bacterial small subunit ribosomal RNA
Source: RNAcentral